CUGGAAUUCUGAUCAGGAGGAGGGUUAAUAUUUAAACUAAAGGGCUCUGGAUGACUAAAUCCUAUUCUCUCCUGACUUGCCUUGCUGCUGCUGCUGCUGCUAAGUCACUUCAGUCGUGUCCGACUCUGUGCGAUCCCAGAGACGGCAGCCCACCAGGCUCUCCUGUCCCUGGAAUUCUCCAGGCAAGAACACUGGAGUGGGUUGCCAUUUCCUUCUCCAGUGCAGGAAAGUGAAAAGUGAAAGUGAAGUCGCUCAGUCGUGUCCGACUCUUCGAGACCCCAUCGACUGCAGCCUACCAGGCUCCUCCACCCAUGGGAUUUUCCAGAUCUGUAUUUGGCCCUGAAAGAAGAGAUCUUAAUUUACCUUGAAGAAAAUGGCAGAGAAACUAGGGGAACCACACACUUGCCUUCAUCUUCCACGUCUUUUGGCCAGGAAGACCUAGCUCCCAAGAGGGAAGCAGUCAUGAACAGGCUGCUGUAGAGCAGGAGACAAACUCUAAUGGCCUUAGGAGCCAGGCAGAUACCAGAGAUGCAGAGAGAAAACAGGAAGUGAUGGGAACUGCAGCUCAGUGGGGAUACAUGUCCUAACCACAGGCCUUCAGAUUUGAAGAUUUCACAGCACCAAGCAUGCCGCUCAGCAAACACAUGGGUGGGCUUAAUGGGCCCUUGGGGCUGCUGUUUGUAACUCCUACUCUGGAGGGAUAUAUUGUCUCAUUCCUUCAAUAACUGUCUCACAAAGCCCACCUCCCCUGGAAAUCUGUCCUUCCUUCCUUUGCUUGUGAGUCUUGGUCUUUUCUAGUCUAGCUGCUCAUUUGCAAACAUUGACUGAGCACCUAUUUUGCACAAGACACUGUGGAAGAGGCAAAAACAAAAAAAAAGCCAGAGUGGAUACAGGAUCCAAACUUAAAGCAAAGCAUCUAGAAAAGAGAGGAGUGUUGCAGUGAGCUGUUACAUAUAUGCUGUUGUGAUAAUGUUGCAAUUUGCUAGGGAAAUAGUAAAGAAAUCGCUCUGUCUAGGGCAGGAGCAGAGGGAUGUUUCAUUGUGGAGGUGUCUCGUGAGUCCUGACGGGCUCUGACAAGGAGGGUGGCUGGCAGGGAGGGUAAGUGCAAGCCGUCACAGGCCCAUGGCUUGGGGUUUUGCCUGUCUCUCACGUGUAUGUUUAUUCCCUUCUUCCUGUUGGAAUUUUGGAAGCUCCUUGAAGGAGGUGACUGCGUCCCCUAUGUGGUUUUCCCGAUUUCCUUGACAUUCUGUAACACCUAUCUUAGUUUUUCUCGCUCUUGAAGAAUCUGUUUCUGGUUGUUGAGAAAAGGAGAUGCCAGAUUUUGUAUCAGUGGGAAGCAGACAGUCCGAGGCAUUUUCGGAACACAGAUAAAGGUGGCGAGAUUGGUGCUGGAUCUGAACGAGCCGAGCGAGGAUUCCUCAGACUGCGGCUGACAGAUGAUGUCUUGCCCCUGAUAAUAGUCCAUCAGGACUUCCUCCUCAGCUGAAAGGAGAGGACAGGCAGGCACAUUGGUCCCUAAUUGUCCCUAAUCACAGAUGUUCAGAGACAACCCAGAGAGAAGACCUCCCGCAUUAUGGAUCCGACCAGGAAGCAGCGGAUCAGGUUAUCAGCAGCCUGAGGAUAAGGAGUGUUGAUUUAGCUGUAGGAGCUUGGACCCAGGCUGAUUUCACAAAACCAAUGACAUGAGGGCUCAUCCCUUUAACCGAGGCUCCCAGUCUUGUCUGUUUCAGGAAAGGUGGAGAUGAAAUGGGGAAAAGAUAAGAACGUUUCCCGAACACCUGCUCUUUGUUGGACUAAAUUCUUUACCUAUAUGAGCUCAUUCACUCUUUACAAUGACUCACAAUCAAAUCGAUAACAGACGUUGUUUUUAAUUUUACUUUGGAGGAAAACUGAGCUACCGGGUUGCAUUGCCCACCCAGCAUCAAGCUUUGAGAAAGUUGCAGGGCUGACUUCAGUCCCAAGCUUGCUCAUCAUAGAAGCUGCUAUACUCUGCUGUCUCCGUGUCCUGGGGCAGCAUCCUCAGGAAGCAGACUCUGGCAGUGUUAGGUUUGGGCAUAGAAGGUGUGUGUGUGCGUGUUUGCUCAGUUGUGUCCGACUCUUUGAGGCCCCAUGGGCUGUAGCCCGCCAGACUCCUCUGUGUGUGGGACUUCCCAGGCAAGAAUACUGGGAUGGGUUGCCAUUUCCUUCUCCAGGAGUGUGUGUGUUAGUUGCUCAGUUGUGUCAGACUCUUUGCGACCCCAUGGACUGUAGCCUGCCAGGCUCUUCUGUCCAUGGGAUUCUCCAGGCAAGAAUACUGGAGUGGGUUGCCAUUUCCUUCUCCAGGGGAUCUUCCCCACCCAGGGACUGAACCCGUAUCAGCUGCAUUGGCAGGAGGGUUCUUUACAAUUGAGCCACUUGGGAUGCCCAUGAAGAGGAUGUGACCUUAGGUUAUUCUCUUUGGCUGAGAUCAAAUCUCUGAGUGGGGUUCAGGUAAAAGGCAUCAGCCCCAACCACUCCAAGUAUCUGGGGGCUUAGGGAUCACAGUACUAUGUCCACUACCCUACCCCCAAGCCCCCACCCCAGAGUAACUUACCUGGAAUCCAGGGCUUUCCCUACUGUGCCCUCUGAAUUAGAAGGAAAGCCUAUUAUUAGACUAGAACUCUUAGGAGAGGAAAGUUAUUUACAGAGGAUUAUCUACAAAAUAAAACUUUUCAAUAUAGUAUAGUCUUGUCCAG
Molecule: long non-coding RNA, 2714 nt
Organism: Bos taurus (domestic cattle)
Lineage: Eukaryota; Metazoa; Chordata; Mammalia; Artiodactyla; Bovidae
Source: Ensembl